GGAAAGAGUCGUGGCUUAGGGGGAGAACACCUGCCUUGCAGGCAGAAGGUCCCAGGUUCAAUCCCUGGCAUUUCCA
Podarcis lilfordi (Lilford's wall lizard) is the source of this 76-nucleotide non-coding RNA. Lineage: Eukaryota; Metazoa; Chordata; Lepidosauria; Squamata; Lacertidae. The record is from the annotation of a GenBank genome assembly.